This 525-nucleotide long non-coding RNA is filed under the name Danio rerio (zebrafish). RNAcentral describes it as "lncRNA si:dkey-196j8.3 (ENSDARG00000095303.2)". The record is from RNAcentral. Lineage: Eukaryota; Metazoa; Chordata; Actinopteri; Cypriniformes; Danionidae.
UGGAUUUUCCCUCCGCUCCGUCUGAGGACAGCUGCUCCUAAACACUGGGAUGCUGGUCUGAGAACUGCGAUCCUGCAGAAACCCGCAGCAGGCAUUACACCAACACCCAGAGGUCAGGGUCUGGAGCUCGGAGAGAUUGCCGGGGUGUGUUUAUGAACACUGUCUCCGAUGGUAAAAAUCAACGCCACAGUCAGACGCCGGCUACACCACAUUAACUGCAGUGAAAUAUAGUUUCCAUUAGGGACUCGACGAGACCCUCAGCAUCAGACCCCAUUCAGUCUAUUGUUAAUGGAGAGCGUCUACAAUCAAAGUGUGGAGUGUUUGGGUCAGAAGCCUCAGCGAUUGUGGCCUACCCCAGGGCAGAAGUGCGGCCCCCAGGGACACAGGCUCACCAAGCUCCUUUACGCCGCGCAGCUACCAGCUUCAGCCUGGGGACUCGAGUGCUUCAAAGAGCUAAUGAGCAACUCCAGAAAUGUUUGCUUGAUUGAGUGUGUGGUUCACUUGAAGGCUAGCUUUCUUCUAGUA